GGUUGUUCUUUUUUUUACCUCUUCGAGAAGCUCCUGCCUUUCCAUUUCAAGGCUAUCAACAUUUUCUCCAUUUGGAUGUGGAGGUAGGAAGUUGACUUCCGCUCUCUUUGAAACAUAAGAUAAAAAUUUACUGUUUAUCCUUGAUGACACACCAGGGUUGAAAACCAUGCGUCUGAGAGAUUUCCUAAAUGCAGUCAAGCUGUAAAUGAACAAACACAAUUAUAUUAAAACAACAGAAUUAAUGAAAAUACAUUAUAUUUAAGGUAGAAAAUUACAUGAGAACUAAUCAAUAAACAGAAGCUGAAAUACAACCAGGAGUUGUAUUCCGAUGUGAUGCUGGUUAAUAAUCAUAAUGUCU
Molecule: long non-coding RNA, 358 nt
Organism: Carassius auratus (goldfish)
Lineage: Eukaryota; Metazoa; Chordata; Actinopteri; Cypriniformes; Cyprinidae
Exons: 3
Source: RefSeq, a predicted model, not a curated record